This 429-nucleotide ribosomal RNA is filed under the name Gemmatimonadota bacterium. RNAcentral describes it as "Gemmatimonadetes bacterium partial 16S ribosomal RNA". It matches the Rfam family "Bacterial small subunit ribosomal RNA", at positions 355 to 776 of the family's 1533-position model. The record is from RNAcentral. Lineage: Bacteria; Pseudomonadati; Gemmatimonadota.
UAGGGAAUCUUCGGCAAUGGACGAAAGUCUGACCGAGCAACGCCGCGUGAGUGAAGAAGGUUUUCGGAUCGUAAAACUCUGUUGUUAGAGAAGAACAAGGACGUUAGUAACUGAACGUCCCCUGACGGUAUCUAACCAGAAAGCCACGGCUAACUACGUGCCAGCAGCCGCGGUAAUACGUAGGUGGCGAGCGUUGUCCGGAUUUAUUGGGCGUAAAGCGAGCGCAGGCGGUUUCUUAAGUCUGAUGUGAAAGCCCCCGGCUCAACCGGGGAGGGUCAUUGGAAACUGGGAGACUUGAGUGCAGAAGAGGAGAGUGGAAUUCCAUGUGUAGCGGUGAAAUGCGUAGAUAUAUGGAGGAACACCUGUGGCGAAGGCGGCUCUCUGGUCUGUAACUGACGCUGAGGCUCGAAAGCGUGGGGAGCAAACAGG